This 253-nucleotide ribosomal RNA is filed under the name uncultured bacterium. RNAcentral's name for it is "partial 16S ribosomal RNA". It matches the Rfam family "Bacterial small subunit ribosomal RNA", at positions 524 to 776 of the family's 1533-position model. The record is from RNAcentral.
UACAGAGGUCUCAAGCGUUGUUCGGAUUCAUUGGGCGUAAAGCGCGCGUAGGUGGCCCGGUAAGUCCGCUGUAAAAGUCCAGGGCUCAACCCUGGAAAGCCGGUGGAUACUGUCGGGCUCGAGUCCGGAAGAGGCGAGUGGAAUUCCUGGUGUAGCGGUGGAAUGCGCAGAUAUCAGGAGGAACACCGAUGGCGAAGGCAGCUCGCUGGGACGGUACUGACACUGAGGCGCGAAAGCGUGGGGAGCGAACAGG